GUGGCAUACUUGUUGAAUCCCUUGCUUCCUGAUUGAAGCCAUUGCUUCAUGACAGUUGGGUUUUGUCAAUUCAUCUGUCUGGGGUUCUUCGGGUUUUCAUUCCUUAAUCAGAAAGUAUAUGUAGACUGCGGAGCUGCUGAAAUUGUGAGGAUUCUUUUCUGACAUAAGUAAACCCAAAGUACAUCUGAUAUAUAGGCUUCUAUCCUUUAGGAAGUCUAGUAUAUUGUUUUACCCAACCCCCGGUUUGUGAGGGACAGACACUAAUCUUACCAUAUUAAGAUAUUGUUUAUUGCUUAUUCUUUGAGAAGCGAAGGGGAUAUGUAUUCUUGCUUUGAGAAGCGAAGGGGAUAUGUAUACUUGAAUUUAUCUGUGAAUUUUGGGAUAAUAUACUUUCUUGUCAUGAGGAGUUCAUGUAGAGAGAAUUGCGGAAAAGAAAAUGACCAUUUAUUAUUUUUUUCACUCUCAUAGUUGCUUGUUUUUGAAUCAUUAGCCAGUCUACAAUUAUCAAGUUGUCUACAGCUUAUAUUGAGUUUGGAGAAUCGAUAACUUGUCCAUGCUAGGCGAGCUAGCACUAUUUGUUGUAGCUUUAUGGAAUUAGAGCCGCUUUGGAUUAGCUAAUUGUAAAUAGUUGAUAAGUUUGUAGUGCUGAAAUUGAUUUUUAAAAUAAGCAUUUACGCGUUUGGAUAGAAAUGUUGAAACUGAUAAUAAGCAGUUGAUGUGUUUGAUUAAAAAGUGAUUAUAAGUUAUUCUUUUGUUAAAAUGACUAAAAUACCCUUGAAUUUUUUUUUAAAAGAUUAUAAAUUAAAAUUUUCUUUGUAAAGAAAAUAAUUAAUAACGAAUAUGGAAGGAAGAGAAAGUCAAGAAAAUUAUUUUGGGAAAAGUAUUUUGUGAAUUAGAAAAUAUUAUUAAGGAUAAAUUAGUAAAAGUGUUGGUCAAACUAAAAGUGUUUAUAAGCUGAAAAGGCAUAAGUUUGGGGUGACCAGCUUAUGACUUAUGGCUGAUUUUAGCUAGUGGCGGACCCAAGUGGUGGCUAGCAGGUUCAACCGCUUCACAAAAAAAUAAUAAUAUGUAUAUGUAUAGAUUAGGAUUAAAACUGUUUAAAUUUUGCAUAAAUAUUUUAUUAUAACCCACUUGACAACUACUAUUUUACGACUAUAUUUAUAUACUUCUAAGAUUAAACCUGCUUGCAUAAAAUUCUGGGUCCGCCAAUGAUUUUAGCUUAUAAGCACUUGGCUUAUAAGCACUUUGAGUGUUUACCAAACGCGUAAAUAAGCCAAAAGGUGUUUAUAAGACAGUUUGACCAGCUUAUAAGCUUAGCCAAACACCCUCUUAUUUUGAAGGCUAUCUGUCGUCUGAUGCAACUGGUUAAUUAUCAAGUUGGCACUGAGACUGCAUCAUUAAACUGCGACUUUGAUGAUGUUUUCAAAUUCCUUUCAUAUUAGCCUUAAUAAUCGAAGUCCUUCCCAUUCACUUCAUAAUAAAGUUAAUUUUGCUAAGAUUGACGGCAGCAGUAUUUCUUUCUUUCUUUCUUCCUUUUUUUUUGGGAAAAUUUUUCUUUCUGAUCAUUCUCAUGGGUGAAUUGAAGUAGAAAGGAUUUUCUCACAUGGAGGGCAUAGACCAUUUUACUCAAUGGUUUUACAAGUUCCAAAAAAAUUCUUUUUGCAAAGUGAAAGUCAUCUAAAAAUCCGCACUUCAACAUGCAUCUGGCGUAACUAUUCCUCGGAGGUCACUUUUUUUUGGCUCAAUAACAAUUGAUUACAAGUUAGUAAUCUUCUAUUCUAGUAAAAUCUUCCUUCUAUUCUAAUAAAAUCUUCAAUAAUUGUAUUUUAUGACAUGUGUGUAUGGGAGAAAAACCUCAUGUUACAUGUUGAUCAAGUCAUCGUGAAGGAAGACUUUGGAGACUGCCACGUGUCGUCAAUAGGAUACAGUGACUGACCUCAAAGGGUCGACGUCACGAGAAGACAACACGUCGUCGACGAGGUCGAAGUGACUCGAUAGAAGACGAGGACGAGGACGAGCACUCCUUUUCAGAAAGCAGUAACGGCUAGUUCUAGGAUUACUAUUCCCUAGAGAAUAUUCUAGUGAAUAUUCUUCCCAAUUGUACUAUCUAGGUUUUUGUGGCCCAUAUACCCUUAUAAAUAAAAAGAUAUAUAGUUAUGGAAGGGGAUUGGACAUUCAUUGUAAAGAACAACAUAUUGACAUUCUCUAAAGAUUCUCUCUUUAUCACAUACAUAAAAAGUUCAUAUUUUUUUACAUCUUUGUCUAUCUUUUCUUCCCUGAUCCAAGAAGGAACCGGAUAUUCAAAGACUUAUCAUAAUCCAUCAUUGUCAGAAGAAUUAUUGGGGAAUAUCACCUUUAUCGGGUGACCCCUAUUUAUUUAUUUAUUUACUUGAAUGCUAUUUAUUGUUAUUUAUUGCUCUCUUUCAUAUUCUUGAGUCAUUCAUUACUUCAUUAUUGAUAUUAUUUAUGGCUAUCCAACAGUACAUGCAGGAUAUUUUCCAUAAAUGCACUUGAUCUAUCAUUUGAAUAUUAAUAUUUACUAAGAUUAACCAUUUUUCACUACAAAUCUAAUUGUAUAAAUUUAGAUCUAAAUUUUGGGUCAUACAGUUUGGCACCGUAUGUGGGGAUUUCUCAGUCAAGUUUUUAGUUUCCAUUGGAUCUCUAACUCACGUGACCUACUAAUCUAACAAACCACAAAGGUUAUCUGUUUUCUCUGUGUAUAUAAAUAAAUUCCAUGGUAGAUAACCAAGGAAGCGGAAUGAAGGCGACUGACAAUGUUCCUUUCAACCUCAUGAGUGCCAUCAACGAAGGGUAUGACACCCAAGAUGAGGAGGUGACUCCAACGGCCUCCCCCAGACGAGGGAAGUCGCCUACGCCUUUCUGUAGCACGAUAAAAUCAAACAGGAAAAGGGCGUCUACGUCCGCGGGAGAAGGGGCGUCACCCGCUGUAAAAAAGCUCCUCGAAACAUGGUUGACUGACACUCUAGUCAGUGUGAUUAGCAAACAAGCCUCGUGCAAGACUGCAAAAAACACGAGGGAUCAUGCAGCACAGCGCAGGAAUGAACAGGAUGAUCAACCCAACCCCCUAUUCCAGGUAAUACUCAUGCGAUUACUGAUACUGCAUGAGAUAGCGUCCUCGCUGCCGUGUUGAAAAGAAUGGAAGAAAUGAAAAACGAGAACAAGGCGCUCAAGGAACAGAUGAAGGAGCACUAGGAACGGUAGACAAAAUACCAGGUACUCCCAAAUUAUUGCCAAAAAGAGAUGCCGGUUGGUUCGUGGAACAGCCGUACAUGGAAGAAGCGGCCCAACAUACCAUACCAAAGAACUUUGAGUUGAUCUCACAUCUCAGAAUCUACGACGGAACAACCGAUCUCGAGGAUCAUAUAACUCACUAUGUCACCGCCGUGAAAGGCAAAGAUCUCACCAAGGAGCAGGUGUCCCCCAUCUUGCUAAAAAAAUUUGGUGAAACCCACAAUGGAGGGGCGUUGACGUGGUAUUCACAGCUGCCAGCUUAUUUCAUAGAAAAAUUUGAAGAGAUGGCCGAUAAGUUCGUAACGGCGCAUGUCGGGGCCAAGAAAGUUGAAACAAGGGUGAACGACAUCUUCUCCAUUAAGCAAUUCCCAUGAGAAGGACUAAGGGACUUCCUCACCCGAUUCAACAGAGUGAGGAUGACCUUACCAAACGUCUCAGAAGGGAUGGUAGUGUCAUCCUUUCAGAAUGGGUUAAUAAAAUACCCACCAGCCACCUAGGACGAAAUCCACAAUGCCUACUGUGCCGAGGUCAGGGCAUACGAUGACAACCUCAAUAGGACAACACGUCAACUCACCUCGGUACAGUAUGAGCCCAGAAAGGAACGCAAGAACAACAUAAGGAAAGACCAUCCGGUAUCGCGACCAGGUAGGGAACGACAUCAACCCUAUGUCAGGGAACCCGUCCACUCUUUCUGUUACGAAGAUGGCCCCUCUAGGCCGAGAUCAGACACCCACAGGAACGAUCGAGGUACUCCCCUUGCUAUCUACUCAUAAUUUGUGUGUCACCUACAGAGGUGUUCUACGCCCUAGAGAAGCUCGGAACGAAAGUGAAGUGUCCACCAAAGAUGAGGUCCGACUAGAAGUGGCAAACUUGCUGUAGCAAGGAUAUCUCAAAGAAUUACUCAGCGACAAAGGCAGGAACACUUUAGCAAGGGGUCAAGAACGCCUAGGCCCACCAAAACCGCAUUCACCAGCUCGCACCAUCAACGUGAUUAUUCAUGACAGUGACGGCGCCUCCAUCAACGGCAUCAAAUUCAUCGCCACUCACAAACUCAAAAGAUCGUCACCCACGAACAGUAUGACGGACUCGAAGAGAGUAUAAUCUUUGACGAGUUAGAUGCCGAUGGUUUGACUUUCCCUCACAAUGAUGAACUUGUCAUUACUUUACGAAUUUUAGAAACUGAUGUUAGAAGAAUCAUGGUAGAUGAUGAAAGCGGGGCGUGCAUCAUCAAUCCUCGAGUCCUCGCACAGAUGAGACUCAAAGAUAAGAUAGUGUCGCGUUGCAUAACACUAACCGAUUUUAACAAUGUAGUUGAAUGGACCUCAGAGAGAUCAUACUCCCCGUUCUCGCCAGCGGGAUGACUCUGGAAACAACAUUCCAUAUCAUGGAUUAGGACACCGCAUAUAAUGCUAUGGUGGGAUGACCAUGGAUACACCCCAUGAGUGCAAUCCUCUCCAGCUUGUACCAAGUGAUCAAAUUUCCAACACCCUGGGGAAUAUUUAGCAUACGAUGGGAAUAAUGUACAUCCCGGGAAUGUUAUCGAAUCGCCAUGGAUGGCACAACAACUCAACAGAAGAAAGAAAAGAAAAAAGAAGAAUAGCAAUCAGUAGGGUCGAGGUCACCACAGGUCGAAGCCAAAGAAGUCAUUAUGGACCUAGAGACGGCCGAAGCCGGAGGAUCAAGCAUAGAAGACCUCGAUCACGUCCAGCUAGAUCAUAGAGACCCCAGCAAAAAGGCCUAUAUCGGCUGCAAACUCCGAGACCCAGGUAAAUUUUGUCAAUUCUUAAUAACUAACGCAAAUUUGUUUGUCUUUAGCCAUGCAGAUAUGCCCGACAUCCCCAAGGAGAGAGCCACGCACAGGCUAAACGUCGACCCCUACUACCCCCAGUAAGACAGGUUCCGAUGAAAGUUCAACCCCAUAAUCAACGAGGCCGUCCAUGAAGAAGUAUAAAGGUUAUUAGCAAACGGCUCUAUUAGGGAGUCAAAGUACCCUAAGUGGAUUGCCAAUGUGGUAAUGGUCAAAAAGAAAAAUGGGAAAUGGAGGAUGUGUGUGGACUUCGCCGACCUGAACAAAGCAUACCCAAAGGAUUCAUUCCUGCUACCACACUUCGACCACCAAGUUAACGCAACAGCAGGACAUGAGCUACUAAGUUUCAUGGACGCCUACUCAGGCAACAACCAAAUAAUCAUGGAGGAAGAUGACCAAGAGAAUACUACGUUCAUCACUCAUAGAGGAACGUAUUGUUACAAGGUCAUGUCAUUUAGGUUGAAGAAUGCGGGGGCUACUUAUCAAAGGUUGGUCACGAAAUGUUCAAAAAUCAGCUCGGCAAAAUCAUUGAGGUAUACAUCGAUGACAUGUUGGUCAAAUAUGUGAGGGCUGAGGACCACGUCGACCACCUAAAGUAAGCAUUUGACAUACUGAGAAAAUACAUGAUGAACCUAAACCCCGAAAAUACGCGUUUGGCAUAACCUCAGGAAAGUUUUUGGGUUUCUUGGUAUCACAGCGAGGAAUCGAGGUCAACCCAGAUCAUAUUAAGGCCAUCGACAGGAUACCAGAACAUCUAACCACAAAGAAACAAGUUUAGAGACUGACAGGUCAAAUUGUCGCCCUAUCCAGGUUCGUCUCGCGGUCAUCUAAUAGGUGUCACAGGUUUUUCAACUUACUCAAAAAGGAUAAUGACCUCGAGUGGACGCUUGAGUGCAUACAAGUGUUGAAUGAGCUUAAGGUAUACUUGUCGUCGCCACCUUUUCUCUCAAAGCCCGAUCCCGGGGAACGUUUUCCCAUCUACCUCGCCGUUUCAGAAGUAGCAGUAUUAGUUCGAGAAGGAAAAUGUACGUAAUCUCCAAUUUAUUAUAUCAGUAAAACACUUGUCGACGUUGAGAUGAGGUAUCCUCACCUCGAGAAACUAGCUCUAACCCUGGUCGUAGCUUCACGAAUACUUAGGCCAUACUUUCAAUGCCGUCGUAUAUCGGUCAUCACCACAUUUACUUUAAGAAGCAUAUUGCACAAACCCGUGCUAUCUGGGAGGCUGGCCAAGUAGGCAAUUAAAUUAAGUGAGCACGACAUCACUUAUCAGCCUCGCGCGGCAAUAAAUUCGCAAGUGCUUGCCAACUUCGUCGCAUACUUUAGCGCAAAAGUAAUGCCCGAGGCCGAGAAAGAAGCCACUCAAGCUUCUCUCCAAACAUAUGACCUUUGGGUCCUACAUACCGAUGGCACAUCUAAUGCCUGCGGGUCCGGACUGGGACUCGUGCUCGAGAUUGCCACCGGCAAAAUAGUUCGCCAAUCCAUAAGAUUCCCAGAUAUGACUAAAAACGAGGCCGAGUAUGAAGUCGUAAUUGCACGAUUGAGACUAGCACUCAAGUAUGGGGCGAAGCAAUUGAAGCUACAUUGCGAUUCCCAACUCAUCGUCAAUUAAGUUACUGGAAAUUUCCAAAUCAAAAAGUAGAGAUUGCAGAGGUAUCAGACCAAGAUCUGCAAAUUGCUGCCCAAUUUCAACGAAUGCCAGCUCGACCAGAUUUCACUAACUCAAAACAUCAAAGCAGAUGGCCGCUCCACUAAAAGCAUAACUCCGGGAGAUAAAAGUUAGUUCACCUCCUCAGCUCGGUGUUAAAACCACAUCGAGGUAAAAUUUGUAAACCUAAGUUGGGACUGGCGCAAUUGUAUUAUAAAUUAUUUGCAGGACGAAACCCUCCAUAAUGACAAAAAGGAAGCCAAAAAGCUAAGAAUGCAAAACACUAGGUACAACCUCCUUCACAACGACUUGUAUAAGAGAACGUAUAGCGGCCCCUUAGCAAAAUGCUUAGGCCCGAACCAAACACAAUGCGUUCUCGAGGUGGUUCACGAAGGCCAUUGCGGCAGUCAUUUCGGUGACCAAGCACUUGUCAGGUGCCUCAUACGAGCCAGAUACUAUUGGCCCACCAUGAAGAAAGACGCCCUAGAAUUUGUGAAGAAAUGUGAGUAGUGUCAAAAAUACACCUCAAUAAUCCACCAAGCAGGCAAACACCUCCACCAUGUCACCUCUUCAUGGCCAUUUAUUAAAUGGGGGAUGGAUAUCGUAAGACCGCUUCCACCGGGACUAGGUAAUGUAAAUUUUAUUUUAGUUUUAACUGACUAUUUCUCUAAGUGGGUAGAAGCAGGAGCAAUCGCCAAAGUUCGCGAGCAAGAGGUAAUCGCCUUUAUAUGAAAAAACAUCAUCUGCCAAUUUGGCCUACCUAAAAAGAUAAGUUGUGACAAUGGGCCCUAAUUCACGAGAAGAAAAACCAGAGAAAUUUCUCGAAAAAUAGCGCAUCAAAAGGAUACUUUCAACUCUUUACCACCCAACCGGUAACGGGCAGACAAAAUCCUCCAAUAAAUCUAUCCUAAACAUCAUGAAGAAGAAACUCGAGGAGGCUAAGGGAUUGUGGCCGGAAAUACUCCCAGAAGUAUUAUGGGCGUACAGAACAACCCCAAAAACGAGCACAGAGAAAGACCUUACUCUCUGGUCUACGGGACGGAAGCGGUCAUACCAGUCGAAGAACCCAGCCUAAGGUACUCCUAUGAAAGCGGCACCAGCAAUGACGAGAAUAAGAGACAAGAUAUCGACGAGGUCGAAGAGCAACGAGAUAUGGCAUACAUAAGAAUGGUCACGUAGAAACUGUAUGCAGAACGCUACUACAACAUAAAGGCGAAGGUACGAUUACUCAAGAUUGGGGACUACGUACUCAAAGACAAGACCCAGGCAGGUAGAGAUUCGCAAGAAGGCAAAUUAGGAACCAACUGGGACGGACCAUACAAAAUCAUAGGCAAAGCGGACAAGGGUUCAUUCUAACUAGAAAAUAUGGAAGGGAAGCUCCUACCAAACAAUUGAAAUAUCAGCCACCUCAAAUACUUCAACUUUUUGAAAUACAAUAAAUGCCCCGUAAGUCGUACUCUUUUUUCCGUCACUUGAGUUUUGUCCCAAUUAGAUUUUCUCAAGGAGGUUUUUAACGAGGCGACGAGCGGGACACUUCGAGUUGGAGUACGCAAGAGAAGAAGUAUUUUUCAUUGCCCAACUUAUCAAGGAUCUCCAAGUCGGACAACGAAAGGACUAGGUAUACUGGGACUGGGACGCCAGCCAGCACCCGAAACUUGUAAUUUUCUCCAAAGGUUGCCUCAGGGAAAAAUGAUGUAGUCAAAUCAAUGAUAUUGAAAUAAAUAAGACAUACGUUCAUUGAAACUGCUCUCCUAAAAAAGGCACGUUCGACAAGUUCGAACAACUCCCAACGGCCCACGGCCACAACUUAAUCAAAGGUAAGUUCGACCAGCUCGAACAACUCCUAACGGCCUUUGGCCACAUUUAAUCAAAGGUAAGUUCGACCAGUUGGAACAACUCCUAUCGGCCCUCGGCCACAUUUAAUCAAAGGUAAGUUUGACCAGUUCGAACAAUUCUUAUCGGCCCUCGGCCACAUUUAGUCAAAGGUAAGUUCGACCAACUAGAAUAACUCUUAUUGGCCCUCGGCCACGACUUAAUGAAAUGUAUGUUUGAUCAGCUCGAACAAUUCCUAUCGGUCCUGGUCACGACUUAAUGAAAGGUACGUUUGAUCAGCUCGAACAACACCUAUCGGCCCUCAGCCACGACCUAACGAAAGGUACGUUCGAUCAACUCGAACAACACCUAUCAGUCCUCAACUACAACUUGACGAAAGGUGCUCGACCAGUUCGAACAACUCCUAUUGGCCUUCUGCCUCAACCUAACUCAACGGUAUGUUUGACCCGUUCAAACAACACCUAUCGGUCCUAGGCCUAAGCUCGAGUAGAAGAUAACAAUGAAGAAAGCACAGAAGAAAAACGCAAGUACGAAAAUGAGAAUGCACAAAGACAAAAACUUACAUAUGAAACCAAAAUAAACUUUUGUAUUUAUAGAAAAGUUUUUACAAAGAUGUUCAAACACGCUAACAAAAGGUACAAUACAAAAGUUGAGCAAAACAAAAAGCUAAAAAUUUAGUGGCCAUCGCCACCCUGAUCUCCACCAUCCCCUCCUUCCCGGCCUCGGUCAUAAGCAGAACCAAUCAGAAGCCGCAAGUGUAUCAAUGCAGCGUAUCGGGAACAUACGUCAUUAUGCUGAAUGACAUCAUGACGUCACAUCUUUUCCUUGACAAGAUGGUUCCAUUGAAUCACCCAGAAAGAUUAAGAUUUUGAAAUAUGUAGUCCUCGAAAUGCCACGCCGCCCGCUUUUCACAACGACCACAACCGUUGUUAUCCGCUCAUUGAACUCGCCCACGAGGACGGCCUCAACAAGCGGAGGGACUAACUGUAUGGGCGAAAAAUAUCACGUUACAUAUUGACCAAGUCAACAUGAAGGAAGACUUCGGAGACUGUCACAUGUCGUCAAUAAGAUACAAUGACCUGACCUCAAAGGGUCGUCGUCACGAAAAGACAACGCGUCGUCGACGAGGUCGAAGUGACACGAUAGAAGACGGGGAUGAGGACAAGCUCUCCUUUUCGGAAAGCAGUAACGGCUAGUUCUAGGAUUACUAUUCCCUAAAGAAUAUUUCAGUGAAUAUUCUUCUCAGUUGUACUAUCUAGGUUUUUGUGGCCCAUAUACCCUUAUAAAUAAAAAGAUAUGUAGUUAUAGAAGGGGAUUGGACAUUCAUUGUAAAGAACAACAUAUUAACAUUCUCUGAACAUUCUUUCUUUAUCACAUACAUAAAAAGUUUACCUUUUUACAUCUUUGUCUAUCUUUUCUUCCCUGAUCCAAGAAGGAACCGAAUAUUCAAAGACUUAUCAUUAUCUAUCAUUGUCAGAAGAAUUAUAGGGGAAUCUCACCUUUAUCGGGUGAUCCCUAUUUAUUUAUUUACUUGAAUAUCAUUUAUUGUUAUUUAUUGUUUUCUUUCAUAUUCUUGAGUUAUUCAUUACUCCAUUAUUGAUAUUAUUUAUUGCUAUCCAACAGUACACGUGGGAUAUUUUCCAUAAAUGCACUUGAUAUAUAUAUAUAUAUAUAUAUAUAUAUGAGGGCUUUAAAAAAGUGAUGUGGCAUGUCUCUUUGGCCAAGAAUCACACUUAUCUUUUUUCCCAAAUUUUUGACAUUUUUCUAUUUAUGUGCUACAUUAGAAAAUCCAAAAUUCACUUCUUAAUUACAUUCUCUUAAUUAUACCUCCCUCCAUUACUCUUCUUUUUCUCUCAUUUCUUUUCAGUUUAGAAGCCUAAAAGUCUCUACCAUUAAUUCAGUAAUCACUAACCGUUUUGCUUCGAUAGUAAUAAAGCCUAAUUAUAGACAACCGUUUCUUUUUAUCAUUAAAGCCCCAAACUAAAUGCCUCAUCAGAUUCCAUCACAAGGUCACUUUUAAAAGUAUCUAAAUUACACCUACAUCUCCUCCAUAGCAAUUAUACCAAUUGAAUAGAAAAUUACAUGAUAACUAUAGUAUCAAACUGAUACCGAUUGCAGACAAAGAAACUACUUCUCCAUCUCCAACUCCAACUCAAAGCAUAGUUGCGGCCCCUUCGGAUUCGAAGCGCCAAUAGUUGUUAUUGGUUAGCAGUUUUCACUGAUACUCUCUAUCUACAUAUAAUUUUAUGACCCUCCAUUUCGAUAAUUGUUAUUCCAGAAAGUGUUGCUUCAUUUCUUAAAAAGAUUAAAAUUUUCUAUUAUUGUAUAAACUGUUAACUAUGUUUACUUCAGUUUCUCUUUUCUAGGUGUGGAAUGAGAGACAUAUACCGCUUUAAGAACAUCUAAUCUGUGCUUACACAGUUCACGAAAAACCAACAAUGGUAUAUGUUAGGAUCGAGGAUUCGGGUAGUGCGGAAUUUAGCCAAACAACGUUAUAAUGACAAUAACAAAGACAAUAAAAGUUGAUAAUAACGGCAAUUAAAGAAUAUAAAGAAGACACAAAUUUAACGUGGUUCGGUCAAGGUAACCUACGNNNNNNNNNNNNNNNNNNNNNNNNNNNNNNNNNNNNNNNNNNNNNNNNNNNNNNNNNNNNNNNNNNNNNNNNNNNNNNNNNNNNNNNNNNNNNNNNNNNNNNNNNNNNNNNNNNNNNNNNNNNNNNNNNNNNNNNNNNNNNNNNNNNNNNNNNNNNNNNNNNNNNNNNNNNNNNNNNNNNNNNNNNNNNNNNNNNNNNNNNNNNNNNNNNNNNNNNNNNNNNNNNNNNNNNNNNNNNNNNNNNNNNNNNNNNNNNNNNNNNNNNNNNNNNNNNNNNNNNNNNNNNNNNNNNNNNNNNNNNNNNNNNNNNNNNNNNNNNNNNNNNNNNNNNNNNNNNNNNNNNNNNNNNNNNNNNNNNNNNNNNNNNNNNNNNNNNNNNNNNNNNNNNNNNNNNNNNNNNNNNNNNNNNNNNNNNNNNNNNNNNNNNNNNNNNNNNNNNNNNNNNNNNNNNNNNNNNNNNNNNNNNNNNNNNNNNNNNNNNNNNNNNNNNNNNNNNNNNNNNNNNNNNNNNNNNNNNNNNNNNNNNNNNNNNNNNNNNNNNNNNNNNNNNNNNNNNNNNNNNNNNNNNNNNNNNNNNNNNNNNNNNNNNNNNNNNNNNNNNNNNNNNNNNNNNNNNNNNNNNNNNNNNNNNNNNNNNNNNNNNNNNNNNNNNNNNNNNNNNNNAGCUACUCCCAAAUCUUUCAUCUCAAAUUCACUUUUCAGCUGACUUUUCAAAUUGUGAAUUUCUGUUAAAUUCUUAGCAGCAAUGAGCAUGUCAUCAACAUAUAAUAAUAGGUACACAAAUGAACCAUCAUUUAACUUCCGGAAGUAAACACAACUAUCAUACAUGCUCCUCGAAUAACCAUGACCCAACAUAAAGGAAUCAAACCUUUUAUACCAUUGCCUUGGAGACUGCUUUAAUCCGUACAAGGAUUUCUUCAACAAGCAAACACGAUCUUCUUUUCCUUCAAUUUCAAAUCCUUCGGGUUGAUGCAUGUAUAUUUGUUCCUCAAGUUCGCCAUGUAAGAAAGCUGUCUUAAUGUCAAGUUGUUCUAAUUCCAAAUCAUACAUGGCAACGAAGGCAAGCAAGACACGAAUAGAGCUAUGUUUAACAACAGGUGAGAAAAUAUCAUUAAAAUCAACUCCUUGUACCUGACUAUAGCCCUUUGCAACUAAUCGUUCCUUAUACCUCACAUCUUCAACCCCUGGAAUGCCAUCAUUUUUCUUGAAGACCCAUUUGCAACCAACAAUUCUUUUUCCUGAUGGCAGCUUCACAAGAGACCAAGUACCAUUCUUGUGGAGAGACUCAAUUUCUUCAUUAAUUGCAAUCAGCCACUUGGCUGAGUCAGCACCAGAAACUGCUUCUGAAUAUUUUGAUGGUUCUCCAAUUUCUUCAGUUUCCUGUGCAACUAAAAAAGCAAAUGCAACAUAAUCUUCAAACUUUAAUGGUUGUUUACCUUCUCUUCUUGGUCUAUGUUUGGCUAUAGAAUACUCCUCUUCUUCUGGUUCAACUUCAGGAGUCUCAACUUCAGGAAUUUCAGCUUCUGUCUCAACUUUAGGAGUUUCAACUGUAUUUUGCUCCAAAGUUGAUGAGCUUGGCUCAGAAGGAAUGCCAAUCUCAAUCUCCACCUGGUUCUAUGUACUCUUUCCUUUAUCUGUAUUACAAGAACUAGAAGACUCUUUUCUAGAAUGUAACAUAGAGGAUUCAUCAAAGGUUACAUCUCUGCUAAUUAUAAAUUUUGGUGUCGUGGGAUCAGGAUACCAUAGUCGGUAUCCUUUUACCCCAGAUGCAUACCCAAGGAAAAUGCACUUUUUAGCCCUUGGCUCUAAUUUUUCAUCAUUUACAUGCAUGCAUGCAGGGCAACCAAAUAUCUUUAAAUCAGAAUAAUUAGCAGGAGUACCUGACCAUAUUUCCUCUGGAGUCUUAAAGUUCAAAGGUGCAAAAGGAGCUCGGUUGACAAUAUAACAAGCUGUAGAGAUAGCUUCUGCCCAAAAGGCGUUUGUCAACCCAGCAUUUGAAAUCAUGCAACGAGCCCUUUCCAAAAGAGUUCUAUUCAUCCUUUUUGUCACACCAUUUUGUUGAGGUGUCAUUCUCACAGUACGAUGUCGAGCAAUUCCUUCAUUCUUGCAAAAUUUGUUGAAUUCAUCAUUACAAAAUUUCAAGCCAUUAUCUGUUCUAAGCCGUUUAACCUGUUUUCCUGUUUGCUUCUCAAUCAAAACUUUCCAUUGUUUGAAAUUUAAGAAAACAUCACUUUUAUUUUUCAGGAAAUAAACCCAAACUUUCCUUGAAUAAUCAUCAAUGAAAGUUAACAUAUACCUGAUACCACCUUUUGAUAGGGUACGUGAAGGACCCCAAAGAUCUGAAUGAAUGUAAUCCAAAGUACCUUUUGUUCUAUGAAUCGUUGGAGAUUUGAAGCUGACUCUUUUCUGCUUUCCGAACAUACAAUGUUCACAGAACUCCAUAUUUUCGGUACUUUGGCCAUAUAAGUGACCUCUUUUACUGAGGAUGGAAAGACCUUUUUCACUCAUAUGCCCCAAUCGCAUAUGCCACAAUUUGGUGAUGUCAAAAUCUGAUUUAUCUGAUAUUGAAACUGCAGCAGCACCUGUAACAGUAGAUCCCAAAAGAGUAUAUAACGUACCAGAUCUGCGUGCUUUCAUGAUCACAAGAGCACCAUGAGAAAUUUUCAGAACUCCACCUUCACCUGUGUACUUGCACCCAAGAGAUUCUAGAGUGCCCAAAGAGAUGAGAUUUUUCUUCAAAUCAGGAACAUGUCUAACAUCGAUGAGAGUUCUCACCACACCAUCUUGCAUUUUGAUUCGGAAUGUACCUUUUUCAAUAACUUUGCAGGCAGCAUUGUUGCCCAUCAAGACAACUCCACCUCCAAUAGAUUCAUAUGUGGUAAAUAAAUCCUAACUGGGACACAUAUGAUAAGAACAACCCGAAUCUAAAAUUCACUCAUUGUUAGAUUUGAAACUAUUAUUAGUUGUUAAAAAAAUAGUUCCCUCAGUCUCAUCAGCAGCUACACUUGCUUCGGCAGUGUUAGUAUUUUUGUGCUCAUUUUUCUUUUCUGUAUGCUUUUCUUUGUUUUUCAAUUGAAAGCAUUCAGAAAUAAUGUGACCUUUCUUAUGACAAUAUUUGCACAUGACAUUUUUGUAUCUGGAUUUUGACAUUGNUUNNNNNNNNNNNNNNNNNNUUAUAAUGGAUAUUAUGUCAUGGCAAAUGUCAUGAACCACAAAUUUGUUAUAAUGGAUAUUAUGUCAUGGCAAAUGUCAUGAAAAUUUGGCCAUAUUACGGUAUAUACUGGUUGCGUAUCUUUAUUUUGAUUUUUCUAUUUUCCUUCCGGAGGUUAUAUGAAGUUUAAGACAAGAAGAACAAGAAAAAAUAUAGAUAUUUUGUUUUCGCUGUGCAGAUGCUCAUUUGAAGGAGCAAGGUUGAAGUGGGAUCACUACAUUGGAAGGAAAGAUGGAAAACAACAAUUUUCUCAGAAAUAUACUCACUGUCCCUGACAAUAGCUAAUGACUAAUUGAGGAUUCACAAUGUGUCCAUACGAUAUUCUCUUAGGCAAGAAACAAUUAUUUAUUUAAUAGUAGUAAUAAUUUUUAAUUUUUUUUUUUUUUUUUUUGUGGAUGUCCUCGAAGAGACAUGACUCAUGUAGUUGUAACAUUAAUUGAAAUGAAUUUAGGUACUCUUCUGUAUGAAUAACUAUAUAAUUGUACUGAAAAUUCAAAAUUAGUAGAGUUUGUGUUUAAUUUGGAUUAUUUUUGUGGCUGAUACGUACUUGGAAAUAUACCAUAUGGAACCGGCAUGUCUUUACAUAACAAAGGAGGCUACGUAAAAAUAUUUUUGAGUCAGGAAAUUUAAGAGCUAUUGUGAAAAAUCUUGAAAGAAGACAAAGCCGCUUGCUUCUCAACAUAGGGGAAGAGGAAGGAAAUCAAUAAUGAUCGAGCAGAUUCAAUGGCCUUUCUAGAAUAGGAGAAUUGAGAGGGAGUUUGAAAAAUAUAUUAGGAAAAGAAAAAAAGAAUAAUGAAAGAAAAAAGAAUAGGAAAACAAAUAGAUAUUGGGAAUACAAUUCAAUACUUUUUAUUUUUUAUUUUUUAGUUGCAUUGCAUUCAUUUCAAAUUCUAUGAUUUGAAUAGAAGAUUUUUUUUUUAAAAAAAAGGUGAAGAAAAACAAAAGUUGUACUAUCUAAUGAAAGAAUGGGUAUGUUUUAGAUAUGCAUUAGAUUUAGACUAAGGGAAUAAGAUGCGCAUACACAAACACAUGAAGUAUAUAAGUGAAUUUUUUUCUUAUAUUUUUUUUUUUCAUUUCUUGAAAAAAUCAGAUUAUGAAAAAUAUUGUCCAUCUAACCUCAAUCAAUAUGUAUAAUUUAUUUUUUAUUUAUAUAUGUACGUCAAAUUUUAUCUCUUUUAUUUCAAUUAAAUUUAUAAAAUAUUAUUUAUGAAUCAAAUAUAUUUUUAUAACCGCGCGAAGCGCGGAUAAAUUCACUAGUUUGGAUAUUAAUAUUGACUAAGAUUAACCCUUUUUCACAACAAAUCUAAUUGUAUAAACUUAGAUCUAAAUAUUUACUCAUAUACAAUGUGAUGAUGUAACUUUACCUGCAUUGACGCAUACACUAAAUCAAUAAAGGUACAAAAUUUAUUACUCCACUUAAAAUUAAGUAAAUAGUUGCAUUGAAUAUUUUCCUCUUUCAGAAAAAAAUAAGAAUAUUUUCCUCUUUCGGGGAAAAAAUAGAAAAAGGAAGUGUAUCCGUGUUUGGAUCACCCAUCCAAAUCCAAUACAUAUUUGGAUCAUAAGAAGCCCGCACGGCUUAGGCACAAAGCCCAAAACUCAGAAUCAGUAACAAAAAGUGGAAAUGACAUCAGGCAGCCACCUUUAAGCAAUGAUGUUUAAAAUAUAUCCAUAUUUUAUAAUAUAAUUUAAAUAUUAGAUAAUUUUACUCAAAUUUCAGGACACGACAUCCUAGAAUUUAAACCUAAAAAUUCAAACUUCGUUACAUCAUGUCCUAAAAUUCAAAAAUUAUAUCUAGAAGUUCGAAUCUUAUAUCCUGAAUUUUAAAUUAGUAAUUCAGAAAUUCAUGACACUUAUUCCUGAAAUUAAAAUUAGCAGAUAAAAAAUGAUGCUUAAUCCUAUAGUGUGUGAAUUAACUAAUCUUUAAAUAUAUUAUAAAUUAUGGAUAUAUUUUAAAUAGCGGGCUUAAAAUUGGCUAAUGAUGCACUUCGCCCUAACAAAAGCGUGCUACAGACGGAAAUCAAAUUCCCGGGUUCGAAGAAAUUCUCCUGCCAUCUAGCCAGCCAUGGAAUACGAUUACAGGAACAGAACAGGAUCUCCUUACGAUACACAAUUGCCGCCGAUGUACGGCAGACCAGCAACUGGCGCUCCACAUCCACAUCCACAUCCCAUGUACGGUCAACAAGCUCCCGGACUAUAUCCUAGGGUUGGUCAACCCUCCGGCGGCGGCCGUAACCCUCCUAUUCAUCACACCUCUUCUCCGUCUUCCAACAGUAUGUAUUUCCUCGAUCUCUGAUCUCUCAUUUAUGUAAGCGUUGUAGGUUAAUCUGUUCGGAGUCAAUUUCAAUUAGCGCAAUUUUGAUCUUUCACCUGUUUUUUAUGCAGCUGGAAUUGGCAUCAGAGUUGCUAUUAAACCUGAAUAUCGGAUUACACCUCCGGUACGAAUCCUUUAUGCUUAAUAUAUACUAUUGUAGUCUUGUACAUGUAGUCCAAGUUCUGAGGUGCUUAUAUGCUGGACGUGCUUCCGACUGUGAUAUACAACCGUGCUUCAUAGGACCUUUUGCAAAUAUAAAAUUUAAGUUAUAUACACGGAUCGUUUUAAAAGCUUCUUACAUUAUCAGUGAAUUUUAACCUGAGGUUAGUUAUCAUUUUUAAUGAUAACCUAAUAUUUAUUGAGAGAUUUACUUGUAAUUACCUAAAUAAAUGAUCUGAUUGUCAAAAUACUUUUACAUUGUCAGUGCAUAGGACUUAAACUCAAUAUAAUUCUACUCAUCAGUUUGUUUCCAUAACUAGAUUUUGUAUACUAUUAAUUUAGUAUUGUAUCAGAUGCAUAACUUAAGUCGUUUAUGUGAACAAUAUAUUAUUUUCGGUUUCUUGCAGCCUCCGCUGUCAACACAAGUGGGAGACAUUCCUCGGAGCACAUUCAACUUUGAUUUUGACUUUGAGAAAAAGAUUCUGGCCGAAGCAGAAAAGGAAAGCCAGAACUGGAGCAGGCUAGGGCUGGAAAAUCUUCCAUCUAGAUUGCCAGAACAAACUAACACGGUAUUUUGUAUUUCUUGUAAUCUUGUUAACUGUAGUUCUAAACUCUACUUACAUAAGUAUCUCUAAGCGUAUCCAGUCCGGUAUCUGAAUGAAAAUGUCCAAGUAUAAUUAAUCCCCUGAAUAGUGAAUUUGUUGGGACGUACCCACCUAGGACAACACUAUGUUGGCCCUUGAAUAGAGUGAAGGGCUUAAGAGGAUUCAUAUAGCCCACCCAACUAGUUUAGAAUUGAGGUGUAGUUGAUUGUUAGCUGAAAUUCUCCUCCAUUUCAAUUAUAUGACGGUGCUUGACUGAUCAUGGUGUUAAAGAUAUUCAUUUUGACUUGUGUAUAUUAUUAGUGGUAGUGGAAGAAAUAAAUAAAGAAACAAUUGAAAAAGUUGGUUUGAUACAGAAAACAUCACAUCAAAGCUUCAAAUUUGUGUAGUUUACUGGAUUUGCAUUCUUGGAAGUUGUGAAAGUUGGCUAGACAUGGAGUGAUGACAAACAUCUUGGAGCACCCCAAAAUGAAAAGAGCGUCAUAGAAAUUGAAAACAGAGAGAGUACUUCUUUGGUUUGCACCCAUAUGCAUUUCUAUAUUUAACUGCUAGGGCAGUGGCUGGGUCAUAAGACUAACAUCUUAAUUGGGGGAUUUCUAUUGCUAUCUAUUUUAUUUAAUUUGGUCUUAAACUAUAGAGAUUAAAAAGCUCAUCAACAAGCGAAAGAAAUAUACAAAAGUUAGACACCUGUACUCUGGCAUAUGGUGGAGGUAGUCAAAUAUGUAAAGUAGUUUGAGCCUUGAGAUGUUUUAGUCUCUUUUUAUCAUCACUUGAUCUUACAAAAUGUGAUUGUGGCACUGCUGCUUCCAGGAAGGUCCAAAUUUGAAAAAAAGAGCUGAAUCUUUAAGAUGUAACUCUUUUAUUUUUUUUAGAGUAGGAAAUUACUUCCAAUGACAUAUCUUUACGUAUUCCUAGUCUACAUUGAAACUGAAGAUUAUGAGAUGCGGCUUCCAGUCAUUCAGUUCAUAGUUGGCGACAAAUCUGGCGUUAUUUUAAUAUCUGUUCAGGCUCUUUCUCUGGGUUGGACUCCUGGAUAAUUGAGGAGAUGCUAAUAAGCAAUGCUACUGUUCUGCCCUGUUUACCACAAUUAAGCUUGAGGAUAAUGGUGCAAGUGUUGGUUCUUGUACUUCCUUUUCCUUGGCUCAGGUAGACUACUUUUAAGUUUUCAACGUGGUUAAAUCCUUCUGUGAGAAAUGAAGGCAAGGGAAAGUAUUAUCAAGAUGAGUAACUUUAAUUAUCUUAUACAGACUUUACACAAUACAUAAUACCUACUAACCAAUGUGGAACAUUGAAGUUACAUACACUAACUACCUAACACCUUCCUACGGUGAGGAUUAUUCUUUAAACAACAUAUUCUAUUAUGCAUAGCUUACUUGACCUAAGAAAGAAUAAGUUUGUCCUUUUCCUUUCUAGGAAUUAGCGUAACAAGUAAAUCCGCAAGUUGGAUCCCUCAUUUUGAAUUUGUGGAUCCAAAUAUGGUUUAUAUACUGCAAAGGAGGAAAAAUUCAUGUCUCUAAACAUGUCAUUUAUAUUUUGACAUUUUUAGGAUGUCAAAUAUUAAAUCUAUGAACAAAGGUAGUUAGCAUCGUUAAAUAUAUGUGUAUGUGCGCGCGCGCACACACACAUAUAACAUCAAGUAUUGAUUGCCAAGAGCACAUCAUGUGCUUUGUUUGGGAAUGUGUAAUACAUCAAAUAUUUUGCAGUUUACUCAAUGUGAUUUCUGAUUUGGUGCUCAUCAACAGAGACUUAAUUUUUGUUGAUAUUUGAAUGAGUCUUUUCUUACUUGAAUAUAGGGAUCCACUGGAGAUUCUGUUAUAAACAAAUACACUUCAUUUGGUUUCAACAGAGAGGCUGUGGCCAUAGCGGUUGCAAAUUAUGGAGACAACCCGAUCAAGGUAUACAUAUCUUUUAUAUGCUUCUCUUACAUUUCUAUGCCUGCAUGUAGCACUAGGAGCACGGUCAAAUUAGCUUAUCUACAAAACUUACUUUAAAUUAAGUUUGUGAAGACAUUUCUCUACAAAGACUUCCAUUUCUUAUUUUCUUCCCGUUUAAGUCAAAUUUCAAAUUUAAUUCAUCGACGGUCAAGUUAACUAAUUUUUAUAUUGAAAUUGGAAAAUGAUUACAUUAUGUUUUGUAAAGAGAAUUAGAUAUUUAAAACUGCAUGAAGGUACAACUUGAUGCAUCUUUUUCCAUCAUAAAACCACUUCGACAGUAAUGUUAACAAAAAUUGAAUUUUAGUUUUUGAAUGGCCAAACAUGACAUUUAAUUUGCGACCGAGAUUGUAGAAUGUUGAAGUGAACAAGGAAGUGUUAUACAAAAAUUUGACCACUAGCAUUAAGGAGCACUUGUCUAUAGUAAAUGUGACCGUUCAUUAGCUUUUUCUAACAUUUUCAUCAACUAAUCAGGUCAAGGAAUUUGCCGAGAGAUAUACUCGCUUGAAAGAAGAGAUGGGAUUCUCACCAAACAGUGUUGCAGAUGCCUUACUAUUGAAUGACAACGAUACAGACAAGGCGAUAUCUCAUUUGAUUGGCAAUUCAUCAUAAUAGUUUUUAUGAUCACGUCUUCUGUAAAAAUAAAAUAAAUUUUUUGAGAAUGUAAUGAAGGUGUCAGUACAUUAUAAUGUCAUUGUAAAUGUAUUUUAUGCUUGUGCAGAUAGAUAUUUUCUGAUAAGUCCUAUUAACUUUAGAUAAGUGAUGUUUGGCAUUGAUAUGAUAGCUGCAAGGUUGCAAUAAGCGAAGUAGGCUGGUAGAGGUUAUUCUUCUCCCAUGUCAAUUUUGCGUCCUGGCAUUCUAGUUAGCUUUUUAAUUACUAUUGCCGUGCUUUGUCCAAACACGAUACCAAUUCAACUUCGGAGCCAGUAAACUUUCAUAUAAGACAGUUGGCUUGCCUUCCCUUUUGCGUUGGUAGACUUAGCCGAAAAUUUACAGAACUUGGCGCAAAUGUUCUGGGCAUCCACAAGGAAACAGUAGUUUGGUCUCCCAUGUGUCUGAUAGGACCUUUGUUGCAACUUAUUCCAAAGGGGUGUCAAAAGUAUAAUUAGAUUUCCCUGACUACCCAAAUAUUUCGAUAGAGGAUAAACGGAACACCUUUCUCACGUACUGCACAAUGUAUACACUAAUGUAUGUAACAUACAUGGCCAGUUUACCAACUACCAUCCCCCUCUAUUUCUGGGUAGGAAUGGCGUUUAGAUGGCCUAUCAGAACAGCUACUUGCACUACUCCUAACUACGUUUUUACAUGAAAAAAGAAGAGCUAAAAGUACCACACGAUUCCAAGACACUACAUUAUGACGACUAAAUCCCUGCACGUUGGGGGUGGACGACAACCUGGUCAUAAACCAAAUAUGUGGUCACUAGCACCAAAUAUUGCAGCGGUAAACUGUCGUGUGUUCAAGUCAUUUCCAUCCAGAGAACCAAAUCUAUCAAGCCACUGAGUUGGACUAGGAUUAUCCACCUCUUCUACCCACUCAGAUGUCAUAUCUAUGUCAUCAAGUUGGAGGGGAUCCUCCUCGGUAGGUUUAGAAACCAAAUACCGUGCUAACUUCAGAUUAUAGUUUAUGUAAACAAGGUCCAGAAGGGUUUCCUUAUCAAUCUUAUUGCGCCUCUCAGAGUGGAUUUGUUGAAAUGUGCUCCAAUGUCGUUCAAAAGUGAAUGUACUGCAUACCUGGCUAAGUAUUCUAAUGGCGACUCUCUGCAACGUAGGAGCAGCAUCACCGUACUGUUCCCACCAAAUACCUACAAUGCAUUUCCUUCGUAUCAGUCCAUUGAGAGUUAGUUAGGCAAUGACGAAAGCUUGUAUAAAAAGCAUGAAGUGUCGGCAGCAGUCAUUUUUCUGACAGCAUGAAUCUAUGAAUUGAGAUGCAAGCAAGAUGAUAGAAAAUUAUAACAGAACAGUUCAAGUCAUUUACGACAUGCUGGAGAAAGUACAUACAAUUGAUGCAUUCAGAGGAGACUUGACUCAAGGUUAGCGAUCAACUAGACAUAAUUUCAGCUUAGUCAGUAUUUUAAGCCAGUCUUAUGGAAGUCUUACUACCAGUUAAUAUCUACCGAGUCAUUAAUGUUUUUUUACAACUUUUAGGUUCAAAAGUUCCACUGACUUCAUUGCUUCCUGAAUGUUUAGUCUUGCAGGAAGUGAUAGGUAUGUAUUUCGAGGCAGAAUUGCCGUUCAAGUACAUCUCUUUUUUAUUUCUUUUAAUAAAUGAGAAAUAAAAACCCAAGUACAUCUCCUUUUAUUAGCUCAUGGUUUUACUUAACUUAGGAGGUAGCAAGCACAACAAGCACAGGCAACAAUAGCUUAGUUGUUUCUAACAAUUUUAAAUCUCACAUUGGAUUUUGCUUAAAUUAAACAUGAAACGUUAAAUGACCUUCAUGACUGAUUCUUAAAGCUGGUGCCUCUCUUUCUUAUUUUCUUGUAAGGUAGUAGAUCUAACUAGAUCGCAAAGUAUUCAGACAAAAAACCAAACUCAAACUAGUUUAUAGAUAACUCAAAAGAUCAGCUUGCAACACUACUGCUUUAUCCAGAUAUAACUUAAGGCUCAAACUAGAGUCUGGAACUAAUUUUAGUACUCUUAACUCUGAAGCCUAGAACUUUCAGGAAAAGAAAAACUUAAAAUCUAGUCUCGAACCUUCACAACACUAUAAAAACACUAAUUAGAAAUUGAAUCCCAGAACACUUGCAAGUUCUAAUGACCAGAUAUUACUGGGUUUCCGCAUUUUGACCAUGUGUUGCAACCAUCAUUUUCUCCAUGCUAAAGGGAAGAAAAAGAGAGUUCAUUUUAUAGGAGAAGAGCAUUUAGAACACUAUAUUCUAUAAUCUUUUCAGGUCUAUAUCCAAAAUGGAGUCUACGAGUUGCAGUUGCACGAAGCUUAAAAGAAAAGCUUUCGUUGGAAAUAUCAUUUUUUUUCUUGAAAAUCAUAUAGGCAACUAAUGAAACUUCCAGGUGUAAGUAAAAUGAAGGAAAUACAAGUGAAACUUUUGAAAAAGAAAACCUAUUCUGCAAGGCCAAGAGAAAUAGGAUUUAUGAUCUCCUUCUGAGUUCUGAUAAGGUUCUCUCUAGUUGUGAGUGCCUGAGUGGAUACCACAUGAAAGAUACAAAAGAAAUAUCACACAUCUUUCAUUUCUCUUCUUUUACUUUUUCUAUAGUUGGUCAGAAUAAUGCAACAAAAUUUCGAGUUUUUCACCUUUCCAAGAGGAAUUUAAAAAGCAUUUAUACCUUUUGGAAAUAAAGAUCUCUAUGCCAGUAAAAAGUAACAUAAGCAAAUAGGCUAUACCCAUAUUUUAUUUUAUUUUUUAUUUUUUGUUAAGAGGGAAACCCGCAGCCGCUACACUUGGUGCGCACUGGGUAAACUUCCCCCUGUGUAAUAGCCUGCAAACCACACAGACACAGGGGAGGUAAUCCGCACUAGGCAAGCCAUGUGCGACAGGCUCAACCCAGAAGGCAUUGAGGGGGAUUCGAUCCCAGGUCAUCCGUGUGGAUGACCGCCCUCCAAACCAACUGGGCAAACCCAAAGGGUCUCAAAUAGGUUAUACCCAUUCCACCUAAGUCCACAAAAAUAAAGGGAGAGAGAUCUCCAGGGAACACCAAAGGAACCCAUUAGUCUAAUAGGAAUUAUUUUUCUGCCAAUGCAGGAUAUCACUACGUGACCUAUGACAUGUCAAUUUAGAAGAAGGUGCUAGCCAGCUUUCCUACUAUCUCAAGGAGAAGAAAGAAGAAUGAACGGACAAGAAUUUUCUUAGGAUCGCUUCAAUUUAAGUAUAUGUACUGGGGAUGCACAAAACAUUUGAAUCUAAAGCUUCAGUCAUACCUGGAGGAACAGUAUCAAUUGCCUCCUUUGCCAGAUUACAACCAAACAUUCCUGAUGCCCUUGUAAAUGAAAGGAUUUGAGUGGUGAUAUCUCGCCUCAAUUCGGGAGUCGGUAAUAGCUUCUCCAGCACUCUGAAAAAAUCUUCUUUUAUUGACCCAAGAAACUUGACUUCUGUGUUGUAUUGGAUGCUAGGAUUCAAAAAGGCAGCUGCUGAAUGCAGAGGAGAGUGGAGGUUAUUCUGCCAUUUCUUAUCUACUAUAUCCAAAAAUGUCGUGCACUUUGUUUCAUCCAUAAUAUAGUAUGUCCGUAUUGACUCCUUUGCUCUGGUCAAUAGUUCAUAUAUAGAGCCCACAGCUGGCUUUCCUCCAGAUACUUCCCUCAUUACUUUGAGAAAGGGCUCAGAAAUAGCAACACACUCUUCAGCUGUCCUCCAAAAGUCAUUGUCAUCGAGAAUUCCAAUACAAUUAAUGCUUUGCGGUUUAUUUGUAUAAGCAGAAUUGGCAGCAAACUCUGGACUGUUAAACAUAAGUUUCAAUCUUGACCUAUGCUUCAGUAGACAUUGUAAGGAGAGAAAGUGUGAAACGGACUUUGUGAUACCAGUCUUGAUGAUCUCUUGUCCUAGAGUGAACUUUUUCAUGAGAACAAGCAAUGAGGAAUUAUUGUAUAUAAACUUCGAGAUUGAUUGCGCCUGUAAAAUGCAUCUAUAUACCCAAUCUAAUUUCGAAAACUCGUCUAAGAUUGUGUUUAUACACUGUGAAGCACAAGGGGACACAAAAACACUCCCAUAGUUCUGCAAAAUAUGGUUCACUAUACCAGUGCAGCAAAGUGUAUUAUCCACAAUUACUUGCACAAUAUUCUCUGGGCCAAAUUCCUGAAUGAUUGAAUCAAACAACUCAGAGAGGCAUUUUAGAUUCUUAAAAUAUGAAGAUGCAUCUACAGAUUUGUAGAAAAUAGUCCUGGAGGGUGAUGAAACCAAGAAGUUGAUCAAAGCUUUCAUUUUGUUAUCUGUCCAUGUUUCUGCAAUUAAAGUGCAACCUGUCAUUGCCCACUCUUUCUCAACAUCUUUUGACUGUAAGCUUACUUCAGACUUGAUCCUCUCCAACCAUGUUGCUUUCAGAGUUUCAGGAGAAGGACCUAAAAACCCACUGCCACACUUCCCUACUGCCUCAAUCAUUUGAUGGUAAGAGGAAGAUCUUGCAACACCGAAGUCAAUUUUGUUCUCAAAAAAGAACAAUGCAAUACUUCUCUCCGCAUUUUCUUGGUUAUUUCCAGGUGAAGAGAUAGCCUGCCCAAUUGGUGGAAAAGUUCUUGCAAUUGGAGUUAUUGGUUCCACAGACAAAAGGGGUUUUUCUGGAGAAAUAUUUACAAGAGAUUUAGCCUCAAUGAGCUUAUGCUUUUUAGUACUAGGAGUUUCCUUUGCCUCAUCCUUUGAUGCUACUAUUGCCCUUACCCUGUCAGUAACAUCAUCUCUCACCUUAGUACAUGGAUUCACACCUUUACUGGGAAGUCUGGAUAAGUGGUGCUUUAACCUACUAAUGCCACCGUUGAGAAUUCUAAGACAGAAUUUACAUCUCACUUUAUUUCCGUCUAACUUCUCCGCAUAUUCCCAACAGACAUCUUUUUCUCGAACCACUGCCAGAAAAAAAUAUCGGUUAGAUAAUUUUAUGACUCAUCCUAGAUGGUUUUUCUUAUUCAUUCUAUUAUCUUUUCCCCUCUUAACAUAAAGAAAGAUUGUAGUCAAUAACAACAACAACAUACUCAAUGUGAUCCCACAAGUGGGGAUAAAGAAAGACUGUAUAUGGUGCACAAUAAUGAAACAAAAUUGUCAUUUAGGAAAUCUCUUUAACAAUUUGAAAUGAAUGCAAUGAUAAAGUCAAGUGUUAAUCUGCUAUUAAGGUAGAUAUAUAUCUUGUUAGUUAAUAAUGAUAAGCUCAAACAAAUGCUACCUACUAUAUGUCAAUCAUCUUCAACUCAUGCAACAAGGAUGUAUCUUAAUUCGCUAGCAAAGCGUAAUGCGUUUGCAUAGGCUUCAAUCAUAUACCAAUAUACUUUUUAAAAACCUCAACUUUAUAAAAAAAACUCAACUAUUUACAAUCGCCAUUCUGUUAAAAAGUGCCAGUAUUUAAGUUGGAAAAGCAGCACAAGAGAAUCACACGGUGGUUUUACCACUGAUCAAUUAUGUGAAAGCGCUAUUAUCGAAUUUCAAUCUCUGUAAAAAGACAAAAGGAAGGAAACUAAAGUGGUUCCACUCAAAAUCCCCAAAUUAAAGCUAGGUUUCUAUUUUGUUAAACUGAUCAACUAAAUUCCUUCUAAUAAUAUGGUGUACCAACCAAAAAAAAAA
Molecule: long non-coding RNA, 25556 nt
Filed under: Nicotiana tabacum (common tobacco)
Lineage: Eukaryota; Viridiplantae; Streptophyta; Magnoliopsida; Solanales; Solanaceae
Description: long non-coding RNA (NTAB_LNC009954)
Source: RNAcentral